Molecule: ribosomal RNA, 429 nt
Filed under: Gemmatimonadota bacterium
Lineage: Bacteria; Pseudomonadati; Gemmatimonadota
Description: Gemmatimonadetes bacterium partial 16S ribosomal RNA
Rfam family: Bacterial small subunit ribosomal RNA
Source: RNAcentral
UAGGGAAUCUUCGGCAAUGGACGAAAGUCUGAUCGAGCAACGCCGCGUGAGUGAAGAAGGUUUUCGGAUCGUAAAACUCUGUUGUUAGAGAAGAACAAGGACGUUAGUAACUGAACGUCCCCUGACGGUAUCUAACCAGAAAGCCACGGCUAACUACGUGCCAGCAGCCGCGGUAAUACGUAGGUGGCAAGCGUUGUCCGGAUUUAUUGGGCGUAAAGCGAGCGCAGGCGGUUUCUUAAGUCUGAUGUGAAAGCCCCCGGCUCAACCGGGGAGGGUCAUUGGAAACUGGGAGGCUUGAGUGCAGAAGAGGAGAGUGGAAUUCCAGGUGUAGCGGUGAAAUGCGUAGAUAUAUGGAGGAACACCAGUGGCGAAGGCGGCUCUCUGGUCUGUAACUGACGCUGAGGCUCGAAAGCGUGGGGAGCAAACAGG